AUGCAUGUGUUCAGGUACUUCAUUGUAAUUGACGGUUUGCAACAACAAGAAGAUUGGGAUUUCCUGAGGAAUGUCUUCCCUGAAAAUGAGAGAAGUAGCAGGAUAGUUGUGAGCACAAGUGUCCAACGUGUCGCCAAGUACUGCAGCUCCAGCACUAGUUUCGUGUACAAAAUGGAAGGUCUCGACAAUGAGGAGACUAAGAAACUGUUCUGGCAAGAAGUAGGAGUGCCGAAUGCUGCCGAUUCGUUGAAACAACUUGCACAAGGCAUCUGUAAUGGAUGCCACGGUUUACCCCUCGCAGUUGUCAGUGCAGCCAAGUAUUUGAGACCCAUAUGGACAGAACUGGGACAGAGUGACUGGGACCGCGAGGCUCUCGCGCUAGGUAACCGCGUAACAGGCCAGGGCGAGCAACCUGCCUUUGCAGAACUGAAAAAAGUCCUCGUGGAAUGCUUCGACGGCCUAACCUGCCACCGUGUCAAGACUUGCUUGUUGUCUGUUACAAUGUUCCCCAAGGGCCAACCCAUCAAGAGGAAAAGCUUGUUCCGGAGGUGGAUAGCUGAAGGCUUCGUGGAGCAUGACGGGCGUCUGGAUAAGAACGCCGCUAUGCCAUGA
Molecule: ribosomal RNA, 612 nt
Filed under: Triticum aestivum (bread wheat)
Lineage: Eukaryota; Viridiplantae; Streptophyta; Magnoliopsida; Poales; Poaceae
Description: partial small subunit ribosomal RNA
Source: RNAcentral